RNAcentral lists this transfer RNA (67 nucleotides) under Osmylus sp. 'Plethosmylus' HX-2020. RNAcentral's name for it is "tRNA-Glu". It matches the Rfam family "tRNA". Rfam says of the family: Transfer RNA (tRNA) molecules are approximately 80 nucleotides in length. Their secondary structure includes four short double-helical elements and three loops (D, anti-codon, and T loops). Further hydrogen bonds mediate the characteristic L-shaped molecular structure. tRNAs have two regions of fundamental functional importance: the anti-codon, which is responsible for specific mRNA codon recognition, and the 3' end, to which the tRNAs corresponding amino acid is attached (by aminoacyl-tRNA synthetases). tRNAs cope with the degeneracy of the genetic code in two manners: having more than one tRNA (with a specific anti-codon) for a particular amino acid; and 'wobble' base-pairing, i.e. permitting non-standard base-pairing at the 3rd anti-codon position. Lineage: Eukaryota; Metazoa; Arthropoda; Insecta; Neuroptera; Osmylidae. The record is from RNAcentral.
AUUUAUAUAGUUUAAACCAAAACAUUACAUUUUCACUGUAAAAUUAAAACUUUAGUUUUUAUAAAUA